Cervus elaphus (red deer) is the source of this 529-nucleotide long non-coding RNA. RefSeq lists it as uncharacterized. Lineage: Eukaryota; Metazoa; Chordata; Mammalia; Artiodactyla; Cervidae. The record is from RefSeq and is a predicted model, not a curated record. The transcript has 3 exons.
CAGUAGCAGAAUAACUGAGACAGAAAAAUGGAUCAGUGAGCUGGAAGAUAGACUGGUGGAAAUAACUGCCUAUCAGUGAAAUAAAGAGUGAGAAGAAUUGAGAACAGUCUCAGACACCUCUGGGGCAAUAUUAGAUGCACCAACAUUUGAAGUAUAGGGUACCCAGAAGAGAAAGAGAAAGGAUCUAAGAAAUAUUUGAAGAGAUAUAUUCAAAAACUUCCCUAACAUGGGAAAGGAAAUAGCCACCCAAGUACAGGAGGUGCAGAGAGUUCUAUACAAGAUAAACCCUAGGAGAAACACCCCAAGAUACAUAUUAAACAAACUAAUAAAUACUAAAUACAAAAGUAUUAAAAGCAGCAAGGGAAAAGCAAAAAAUAACAUACAAAGUAAUCCCUGUAAGGCUAUCAUCUAAAUUUUCAGCAGAAAUUCUGCAGGUCAGAGGAUAUACAUUUAAAGUGAUGAAAGGGAAAAACGUACAACCAAAAUUACUCUACCCACCAAGGAUCUCAUUCAGCUAUGAAGGAGAAUU